UGGGAAGAUGCUGUGCCUCGAGGAUUAGUUUAAACAGGGGGCUAUAAAAGAUGUAACAGAUGCAAACUGUAACACAAGGGCCAUUAACCCUUUCUCUGCCGGGCACACUCAGUCCCCACGCCCCACACCUAUUGUCUCCUGUGCUAGAAGCUUUGCAGAAAACCUGGAAAGGGAAAUCCUGAAAUAAAGAAAUGGUCACACAAGUGUCUGGGAUGAAACAGCUGGCCUGUCUAUAUUCAUCCUGAGACACACGACUGCAUAUAAAUACAUGUUUAAUAAAGUAUUUGCCAAGUCCUAAUUGCUGAAUAUAAUGAAUUGGAACUAGAUGCGAAAAUAGAGCAGGACCUCUCCCCUUGAUGAGUUUUUAUUCCAGCCAUAUAAUUCUCAAUAAAACUUUUCCUGGGCUGGAUAGCAAAGGACACCUUUGGUUACCUGAAUGAACAGGUACAGGGGAAAUUAUUUGGGGGAGGGAAAAAGGAGAGAAAAGCAAGGAGAGAGAGUGUGAGUGUAAGAGAAAGCGAAGAAGCCACUCUUGAGAAAAGCUUGCCAUAAAGGAGCUAAACCCACCUGAAAUUCCUACCCACGGACACCCCUUCUCACUUCAGACUCACAUCCCCACUCAAAAUGAGAAAAUUAGAAAAGGAGGAUGGAGGACGAGCACACCAAAAAGGGAUAAAAAGAGAGAAAAGGGGAGGAAAAAAAACCUACCUGCGAAGUCUUGUUUGUAGUUUUGGCCAGAAAUGGUGAGAAGAAAAAGCAUGAAGAAGCCGCGAAGUGUGGGGGAGAAAAAGGUGGAAGCGAAGAAACAGCUCCCGGAGCAAACUGUACAAAAACCUCGCCAAGAGUGUCGGGAGG
This 855-nucleotide long non-coding RNA is filed under the name Homo sapiens (human). RNAcentral describes it as "ZEB2 antisense RNA 1". The stretch from base 42 to 169 matches the Rfam family "ZEB2 antisense RNA 1 conserved region 1". Lineage: Eukaryota; Metazoa; Chordata; Mammalia; Primates; Hominidae. The record is from RNAcentral.